This 164-nucleotide RNase P RNA is filed under the name Enterocloster sp. Its description in RNAcentral is "partial RNase P RNA component class A". It matches the Rfam family "Bacterial RNase P class A", at positions 188 to 367 of the family's 367-position model. From Rfam's summary of the family: Ribonuclease P (RNase P) is a ubiquitous endoribonuclease, found in archaea, bacteria and eukarya as well as chloroplasts and mitochondria. Its best characterised activity is the generation of mature 5'-ends of tRNAs by cleaving the 5'-leader elements of precursor-tRNAs. Cellular RNase Ps are ribonucleoproteins. Lineage: Bacteria; Bacillati; Bacillota; Clostridia; Lachnospirales; Lachnospiraceae. The record is from RNAcentral.
GGUAACAGGCGGGGCACAUGUAAACCCCACUCGAAGCAAGACCGAACAGGAAGCAUAUGGCUGCCCGUCAGCUUCCGGGUAGGUUGCUUGAGGCUGCCGGCGACGGCAGUCCUAGAUAGAUGGCCAUCCAACGACAUAACCCGGCUUAUCGUCCUGCUCACAUA